CGCAGAUACACAAGAUACUCUAAUCAAAUGACAUUUGCAACUGUGAAGGGCUCAGGACACACAGCUCCUGAGUACAAGCCUGAUGAAGGUUACGCCAUGUUCAGCAGGUGGAUAGCUAGUAAGCCUUUGUAACUCAACCACAAUAGAUGUGUUCAUAUGUAAUAUAAUUAUCACAAAUAAAAUAUGUUAUAAUAAUUUUUGGAUUUGUAUGUUACCGAUGCUUUGCAAAUUAAUUUGAUUUGUUUUGUAUUGUCUCUUUA
Molecule: long non-coding RNA, 260 nt
Organism: Vigna angularis (adzuki bean)
Lineage: Eukaryota; Viridiplantae; Streptophyta; Magnoliopsida; Fabales; Fabaceae
Exons: 2
Source: RefSeq, a predicted model, not a curated record